GUCACUAACAACACGGCCAGGU
Molecule: microRNA, 22 nt
Filed under: Anolis carolinensis (green anole)
Lineage: Eukaryota; Metazoa; Chordata; Lepidosauria; Squamata; Anolidae
Description: aca-miR-34a-3p
Gene: aca-miR-34a-3p
Source: miRBase by way of RNAcentral